Molecule: non-coding RNA, 3395 nt
Organism: Chiloscyllium plagiosum (whitespotted bambooshark)
Lineage: Eukaryota; Metazoa; Chordata; Chondrichthyes; Orectolobiformes; Hemiscylliidae
Source: RefSeq, a predicted model, not a curated record
UGUUGAUGGGCUCACAUUAAUGAGAAGCUGAGAGUUUGAGAAAAUAUAUCUUGGAAAUUCACGUGUAUCAACAUGUCAGUUGUCGGUUGUCGGAACCGCUCUAUGCUCUACCCUCUGACCGGAAAAAACCGGCCGUAAGGCGGAAACGGAAAUAGAUUAUGACAAAAUGGUGUACGUGUCCAACGGGCAAGUAGUGGAUAGCAGGAGUCAAGCACCAUGGAGUUUGUCAUCAAUAAUUCAGUUUUUCUGGGGAAUAGUGGAGUUUAUUUCUUUUUUCUUCAGAACAUUGUUCAAUCCAGCUGGAGCAGAAUAUAAAAGAACUGGAAGUCAGUCAUCCUGGGGUAGACCCGACGAUGGAAGAGGCCCUCCAGGAGUUCCACGGAGAAAGAUGGGUCGAAUAAACCAUGGUGGAGGUGGUCCUCCACCACCUCCAAUGUCUGGAGGAUGAGGAAGGUAAACGCCUGCUUUCCAAAGCAGGCGGUUGGACGUGCGUUCACAAGGUGAUGUGCAAGAAUUCCAAGAAGAUGGGAAAGUUGUAAAGACCAGUUUAAAGUAAUAAUGUGAAUGUGCUUGUCCACCCAGAAGAGUUGCUAGGUGUUAAACACACUGAUUAAUGAUGUUGUGCUUAGGAAAACCUGAAUUUAUAGGCACUGGCACAAUUGAAAAGCAACUGUGCAAUGUCUUGUGUUUAAUAAAAUUGACUUUACAAGCAUUCCUUUCAAACUUAUGUUGAAUAAUCCUAUUUUGAACAUUUUUAUUCUUUGGGUCUAUGUACCAAUAAACUAUUUUAAAUGUCUUGUUUCUUAAAUUAAAAUGCCUAGUUUCAAUGGUGGAGUAGAAGCACUUUUUGAUACAAGAGCAAUAUUUGUUUUGGCUAUUCGUUUGAACAUUGGUUUGAUCUUUUCUUUUAUAUUUAAUGAUUUCCUUGUCAAUUUGCUGAAGUUUACAGAAGUAAUAUUCAUUUGCCUAACGUACACAGGUUGUAAAGAAUCAAGUCACAGAAAUCUUUCUUUGAAAAAAGUGGUAUUGGAGUUUAAUCUAAAAAUACACUUUAUUAGUACAGAACAGAGGUAAGAGUUUCUGAUUGGAUCCUUGCUUGCCAUAAGAAUAGUUACUAACUUUUUUUUUUAGGUAGUUAUUGAACAGUCGAGGCUUUAGAUAUGGGUUGGCUUCUUCAAGGACAUGGUGACUGGCACACUUCAUCAUGUUGUUGAAUGUACUGUUACUGUUCCCAGAUCAUGGCAAGGUCAUUGCACCAUUCCCAGUCCCACACUAGUUCCACCGUAUAUCUGCAGAAAGCUGCUUAGUUUAGAAGUUAUCACUACAUAUUUCCAUUACCUGUCAACAAGUAAGCCCGCUCACACAUGUCAUAGUUCCCUCAUUAGCUAUAUAAUUUAUAUUUGUCAACAAUGUGGGAUGGAUCUUUACACAUAUUGUUCUAAUUGUGACAAAUACAAACUCAAUGGAUACUAUGUCAGGUUUUGCCAGGAGAUACACCUAUAGUUAUAGGAAAAGAACUAUGCCAUUUAAUUUCAUAAAUAUGACACUAUUCUGUUCAAUCAUGCUUGAUCUUUUACUUCAAGCUCCAUUGCCCACCUUCUUCGAUAACAUUAGUAUCCUUACCUAACAAAAAUCUACUGUUUUUACAUUUGAAUUGACCCUUUGUCCACUAUCUUUUGAGACAGUGUGUGUAGAAAAUGUGUCCUGAGACCAUAUCUAAAUAGCCAAGCUUAUGGUGUGACAUUAUUGGGAUGGUAAGUAUAAAAUUCAUGUAUUAUUUAUAUAUUUGUCUCUUUUAGCCCAUUUUACAUGACAUUUCUUAUUGAGGAGCUUUUCUUAGAUUCCUUGGAUUUGUUCAUGUGAAACUCCAGAAACAGAACAUUUCUGUUAAAAUUCUCGAAGGAGUAACAAAUUGUCAAAUCUCAAGAUCAGUGUGAUUUUUGUUCAAAUCUCGUCAGCAUAAAAUCUCCAGCAACAGCCUUUUCUGUUCUGCACCAUGAUCAUUGGAGUCUCUAUACCCCCACAUAUCAGCAAAGACACAACUGUCUAUUAUUAUCACCCUCUUUUGAAUCUAUUAGCCAUUCUUUAUCAGAAUCAUAUGCCAACAUUGGAUCAGAUUAUACAAAUAUUAUAAUACCUAGUGUGUUCUCUCUUGCUGUCUCACUCUCUCAUCCCUCCCCGAGCUUCUGGAUAAACAAUAAUUUUCUUGAGUUAAACUUUGGGAGGACUGAGGCUAUUGUCUGUUGGCCUGACCCAAAAUCCAUUGCCUUGUCACAAAGUUCAGUCUCCUGCUAGCUACUUCUCAAGCUGAAUCAAUUUUGGUGCAUUGAUGCCCUAUUUACUCCAGCUGUGCUUCAUGAUUCAAACUCUCCUCAGAAAGAUUGCUGCAAAAAUAUUUUCAUUUAAAAUAUUCCAAUUUAAAAUGUCAGCAGUGUGCUUUGCUUUAGAAUUUUAGCCAGAGGGAACAUUGCUCAUUCAAUGAGGCAAGAUUCAUAGAUUCUUCCAUGUUUCCAAAAUUUGAUAAAUUCCCAGAGAUUAGGAAGCAGUUACCAAGACACCACAUACAGUAGUAAAAGAUACCAGUGCGAUACUGCUACAGCAGUUCAAAGUAAAAAAAGUAUUGAUCAGAUAUUGGGGGAAAAGAUGAUGAACAUGGCUAAAUGCUUCAGUUCAUAGCCUCAGCACAUGUUCUGUGUAGGUGCAGCCUCAGGUAGCCAAGCAGUAUAAGAGAAAUGUGCUCUCAAAUUUAGUUUUCUUGAGACAGGUGGAUUUGCCACUGACCACGCAAGUUCCAAAUCAGAUCAUCUUUAACAACUCAAUCUGUUUUUACUCAAUGCAUCAGUUGCUCACUUUUAAUAUGAUAGAACAGUUGUACAAAAAUACUAAUGUCAAUUAUUGAUUCAAUCAUUUGACAAAAAGUCCACUGUUAACCCCUCCUUUCCUCCCAAGUAACACCCAUCCCUCUAUAUGUGCACAACUGUUGCCGGUUCCUGUAAAUUCAACUAUUUUGAUGUUUUCCUAGCCUAGUGGAUAACCUUUACCCACUACGAACCUCUUGCAAAAUGUAUUUAUCCAACAUCUGCUUCCAAAUUUAUAGUUUUUGUCCCUGUAUUUGAUGUCUUCCUGAUCCUUGCUCUAUCACAUCCAGCUCAACAAUACUCUCAAACGUCUUAUUUCUUUUACUUCUUUGCCUCAAUUAUGUUUACUGCUAUCUGUGAAUUUCCUCAUUUCAGUCCUGGUCUUAAGGACUGGCUUAAACUCCAUCUCAUUUCUGAUGGAUGCCAAGAUCAAAUUGCAUCUUUGAAGAGCCAAGAAUGUCUUUUAAUAUUAGUGGCACAAUGUAAGUCCAAGUUUUUGUUUUUUAUUUUAAACGUAAAUAAAUUGGACUCUAUUUA